This 466-nucleotide ribosomal RNA is filed under the name uncultured bacterium. RNAcentral's name for it is "bacterial SSU rRNA". It matches the Rfam family "Bacterial small subunit ribosomal RNA", at positions 328 to 792 of the family's 1533-position model. The record is from RNAcentral.
GCCCCAGACUCCUACGGGAGGCAGCAGUGAGGAAUAUUGGUCAAUGGUCGGGAGACUGAACCAGCCAAGCCGCGUGAGGGAUGAAGGUACAGAGUAUCGUAAACCUCUUUUGUCAGGGAACAAAGGCGGGGACGUGUCCCCGGAUGAGUGUACCUGAAGAAAAAGCAUCGGCUAACUCCGUGCCAGCAGCCGCGGUAAUACGGAGGAUGCGAGCGUUAUCCGGAUUUAUUGGGUUUAAAGGGUGCGUAGGCGGGCUGUUAAGUCAGGGGACAAAUGUGGGGGCUCACCCCCGGCCUGCCGUUGAAACUGGCGGCCUCGAGUGGGCGAGAAGUAUGCGGAAUGCGUGGUAUAGCGGUGAAAUGCAUAGAUAUCACGCAGAACUCCGAUUGCGAAGGCAGCAUGCCGGCUCCACACUGACGCUGAGGCACGAAAGCGUGGGUAUCGAACAGGAUUAGAUACCCUGGUA